Molecule: long non-coding RNA, 526 nt
Filed under: Gallus gallus (chicken)
Lineage: Eukaryota; Metazoa; Chordata; Aves; Galliformes; Phasianidae
Description: lncRNA (ENSGALG00010004400.1)
Source: RNAcentral
AUGGCAGUGGUGGAGCUCAUCGGGGGACUGAAAUUGCUGCCUCUCUUCCAGCAGUAGAAUAAGGAACUGUUUUUGUUGACUGUGAGUUUAUGAGUGGUCUGUUGAUGAACUGCUUUUGUCGUAGGGCUGUAACCUCAGAAGGGAGCAAACCAGAUGACUGACAGCAGGUUACUUUUUUGAUGAUGGUGAGAAAUUGUGCACAAUUGUCCGAGGAUGUUUGAUCUCCUUCCCUUUACUCCCAGCAAACAAACUAUAAACCUUCUCUGGCUAUUGAGCAGAGGAAACAUAUGGAGACAGAAUUAUCCCAGUGGAGUUUUCUUUGCUAGCAGAAGUGAGAGGAAGAAGCCGCAAGACGAGUGGUGAAUAAAAUCAGCCAUAGGGUCAUCUAGAACAAGAGACCCAUCGGACGGCUCGUACAGCUAUUUUUACUUUCUAAUAAAGAGAGGAUGUCACAUGAAUUGCCAGGAAAGCAAAUAUAUUCUUGAUGCUUUAACCUUGUUUAAGUUACUUAAUUUGCAUUCAAAAU